GCCAGCCUCUACCGCUGGUUCCCCCUCAUCCCCGCCGCCUCCCUCAGCGCGGCGGGGUUCGAGCUGCCGCCCGCUGCAGGCAGCGCCGCCGUGAGGGGCUGCCCCGCCACCGGGCCCUGCCGUUACCUGGGAGAGCCGGGGAAGACCUAGAGAGGGGGAAGCGGACCCUGUGCCCAGGACUUGUGUGGAAGUGCUCCAUGGUCACUGCCAUGUCAGUGAUAAGUAUCAAUGCACACUGCAUGGCACCCCACGAUGCUGAAGAGGAGACAAUGCUGAGGACCUGCCCAAAUACACCUAUCCCAGACCUGACCUGCUUUGUGCUGGAGAUCCUAUCACUUUGCUGAAGUGAUGCAGAGGACAAAAAACGUGAUGGAGGUCAAGUUCAGCAAUACGUGGCAAUGCACAGCCUGGACUAUGAGGGGAGCUAUUUUUAACCUGGAUGUGUUCUGUGAUUUGUUUCCCACACAGCAUGGAAACUGGCACAGCUGAGGGGUUGACAGCAAUGAAGUUGCACCAAGAAGUCCAAGAGCAAUCAGGAGAGACUUCAGGACUUCGGGAUGGUUGCUUAAGGGGUCGGGAGCACAGAUACUG
Molecule: long non-coding RNA, 591 nt
Organism: Neopelma chrysocephalum (saffron-crested tyrant-manakin)
Lineage: Eukaryota; Metazoa; Chordata; Aves; Passeriformes; Pipridae
Exons: 4
Source: RefSeq, a predicted model, not a curated record